Callithrix jacchus (white-tufted-ear marmoset) is the source of this 3260-nucleotide long non-coding RNA. RefSeq lists it as uncharacterized. The record is from RefSeq and is a predicted model, not a curated record. Lineage: Eukaryota; Metazoa; Chordata; Mammalia; Primates; Cebidae.
CUUGAAUCACAUUGCCUGGGCAGCAUGCCCUUGCUGUUGUUGCUUUGUUAACUGUUAGAUAUUGAUUUAUAUGAACAUGAAAGGACAAACGGAAUCUCAAAUGAAGUCUCAACUAACAAUAUGACAAGGCUAAUCCACCAAUACAUCUUUGAUUUGCUUUUAAGAGGUUGCAGUGGAAGCGGAUAGGAGAAUACCUGAAACUGGAUAAUUUAUAAGGGAGAGGAAUUUAUUUCUUACACUUAUGAAGACUGAGAAACCCAACAUCAAAUGGCCACAUCUGGUGAGGGCCUUCUUGCUGGUGGGGACUCUCUGCUGAGUCCUGAGGGUGUGCAGGACAUCUCAUGCCACUUACAGCUAAAAUAGACCUGACUAUGUGAAAAGUACCGGUGGGUGUGAGGGAGAAGAGACAGAUGAAGUGACAUCUCAAGAGAACUCGAUGGUUGGCUGGAUACAGAGUAUGUGGGAGAAGAGGAGACAAAAAGAUAAAUGUGAAGUUAUUUAAAUGGUCUGUGAUGCUUUUAACCCAAGGAAAGCUAUGACUGAUAUAGAAACAGCUUUUUCUUUUACAUAUCCAAUCCACAUAUAAAAACAUAUUUAAAUAAUAAACUGUAAGGCUGGUAAACUAGAAAUUGGUGACUGCUUCUCAGUAGCAAAGUAUUUUCUUUAUUGUUGGCUUAACAUUUUUGCUAAGUUCUGCUAAGGGUAUACAAAGUAACUUGUCGAAUUUUCAAAGUGCUUUGUAGAUUUCAAUUACUUAGGAGGCUCUCAUUUGAAGCUCAGGAGAACUGUGUAGUAGGUGGGAGAGUUAACAUCACUCCCCAUUUACUGAUGAGUUCACUGAGGUACAGAGAGGUUACUAUAAUUAACUAAGGAAACUGAGCAAGUAUCUUGGAGGAAUGGUGUGAGAACCCAAAAUUUCUAGUCCGGUGCUUUUCCAUUUAUCAUCCAGUCCUCUGAUUUCUCAUAAUUAUAGUAACUUGUAAUCAAUGAUAAAAUUAUAGGCAGUGACCAAGUUAACCAGUAACAUUCCAAAAAUGCCAUCACAUUUUUUUUAAGCAUUAUAAAAUAUAUUUAAUCAAGUCAGAGCUAUUCUAAAAAAGUAAUAAACUAGAAUGAUCUUGGAAGACUGACAGCCAGAGUCCCCAUAUAGAUCUGAGUGCUUAUUGUGGGUCAUGGCUACUUUCUUGUAUCUCAAAUAUCCUCUGCAAUUCUGGAAGGGAGAGAGGGUAAAAAUAGGAGAGGACUCUGGCUUAAAGGGGGAGGGUUCUAUAAAUUGGAAGUAUCACUUUAGAUGGUGAAAUGUUUUCUGGCUAGUUAUGUAAUUCUGAUAUGCUUUUAACUUCUAGUUCCUAGGAAACAAGUUGUUGCAACUCUCAUUGGAGGAAGUAUAAGGUGAUCUCAGGGAAGGAGAGAAGGGCCAGUUGCCUGCCAAAUCUAUGAUCAAGUCAGCUCCACAGUCAGUUGAGUAAAUAGGAGUUAUUAUAUAUAUGAGAGGUUUUGGCCAGGGAAAAGGUAUAAAUAGAUUAAGUAAAUUGACAAAGAACGACGUAUCGGGCCAUUAGGCAAAACUCAUGUGUUCUGCAUAACACAAAUAUCAACAUAAAUGCAAGUCAUCUUAGCUACACAUUUAAUUUUCAAGUGCUAACAAAAUGGGGCUCGAUUUCAAGUAAUAUAUAUAUAUAUAUAUUUUUUUUUUUUGAGACGGAGUUUCACUCUUGUUACCCAGGCUGGAGUGCAAUGGUGCGAUCUUGGCUCACGGCAACCUCUGUCCUCUGGGUUCAGGCAAUUCUCCUGCCUCAGCCUCCUGAGUAGCUGGGAUUACAGGCAUGCGCUACCAUGCCCAGCUAAGUUUUUUUUGUAUUUUAGUAGAGACGGGGUUUCACCAUGUUGACCAGGAUGGUCUCGAUCUCUUGACCUCGUGAUCCACCCGCCUCGGCCUCCCAAAGUGCUGGGCGGGUGAGCCACCGCGCCCGGCCCGAUUUCAAGUAAUAUUAAAUAAUUUAAUACCAUUUCCAAAUGUUAAUUUCUUUGUGGGAAUGUAGGAAAUGUUUAGACGAAUGCAAAGAAUUUCUGAACACAUGAAAAGACUUUCUUCACUUUGUAUAAUUACCUGGUUUGAUGUUCUACUGCUAUAUGAAAUAUUAUUUACACCAUGUAGUUUCAGAGCCAAAAUUUUAUAUUGAAUUUCAUCCAAAUCAUUUAGUUAAGUUCAAGUUUACAAAGGAAACUGAUGAUCCAGCUUUAUUUCAGUGUAUUGAUUCUGAAUUCAUGAGCUUGUGUCAAAAUGUGAUUACAUAUUCUCUUAUUUCUGCACAGCCCCCUAUCCUUAGCUUACCUCUGCUAAGAAGUCUUUGUUGUACUGAUUCUUCAUUUCAUUUCAUCUUAAAUUUGUAUUUAGGUAAAAAUAUGAUUAUGGCCCUUUUUCUUUACUUGAGUAAAAGGAGACAAUAAAUGCAUGUGAUAAAUCAAUAUUAUUACAAAUAAAAAUAAAAAACAAAUUCUAGAAAGGACAAACCAAUGUUGGAUUUUGUGGAACUUAGUAUGAUUGAGAUAUGUCUAGUGUCUCAGGUGGCCUCUGCAAUUUUGGCAGAGGAAGAAGGUAGAAAUUGGGAGAGGACUCUGGCUCAAGGUUGUGGGGAGGACUUCUACAAAUUGACAAAUGUCACUCUGUGAAAGGAAAAUAAUUGCUUUCUUAUCACCAACUCUCUUACAAAAUAUUUCCCUUCUUACUUCACGUGAAAUAGGGUGCUUAAGGGAGAGGAUGGGAAGAUGAAGCAGCUGGGACAGGUCAGGCUGGGGGACAAGAAGAGUAGGAAGAGGGCAGAUGGUGGUUUCAGAAUAGAUCGCCUCUGAUCCGAAGUAGAGGCAUCAUAUUGACAUUGCGAAAAAGAUGGGAGCUCAAACUCUCUCCUAUGGCAGUUUUAAAAAUAAAAUGUUCUUGUCUUAUACAAAGUAGAACAUAUCCUAAAAAUAUGUUGGGUACCCAGGUGCUGUACUCAUAAUGCUCAGUAGAUAGCAACCUAUCUGACACUUACUUGAAGGCCCCACUCAAAUGCUGAUAGAAGCUGCUUCGGAUUUUGCUGCAAUCCUAUGUAUUUCUUGUUUUGAUGGAAUACUUCAUAUGUAUGUUUUACUUCAUUGUUGGCUUUGUCCAAUCAAUGGUCCAUUUUUCAGAUGAUAAAUUUAUACAUUAAAAUCUACUUUAUUUCUCUUAAUUGCUUGUAUUAGGCUGUUCUUGCAUUACUAUAAAGAACUAUCUG